Long non-coding RNA from Hippocampus comes (tiger tail seahorse), 2979 nucleotides. RefSeq lists it as uncharacterized. The record is from RefSeq and is a predicted model, not a curated record. The transcript is spliced from 2 exons. NCBI's taxonomy places the organism in Eukaryota, Metazoa, Chordata, Actinopteri, Syngnathiformes, Syngnathidae.
ACAAUAGCUCAAAUUUUUUUUUCUCAUCACUUCUCAUGAUUUCCCUGCAGGGGACAAGUAGAUGUGUCGGUAUUCAAUGGCAUUAGCGCACUCGGGGGCACGCUCAUUAUGUGAACGUGAUCUUGAGACUUAAAGCUAAUCAACGGCGUGUUCGUCAUAUUUCGUCUUCUGUCUGCGCGCUCAUUUUUAAGGGGAAAAUACUGAAGGUUUUAAUGAAAAAGCCCUCGGGCUCCGUCUUUUCGAGGCUAGAGAAAGCGUUUGAUGACUGAGGGCUACCAGAGUCGCAGGUCUUUGAAAUGUUCCACACAACUCGGCGUGGUGUUUGUCCAUCAAAUGUAUUCUAAGCCUGAGCGUAAUAUCGGAGGGGUACGCUACCUUUGUUGGGAGGUUCACAGGAAGUUCAAAAAUCAAGAGCGAUGCUACAAUAUUUACGACGGGUUGAAGAUUGUUGGGGGGGGAAAAAAAAAGGUUACUUCAAUGACUAAAAGCCUGGAGCUAGCUAGCAUCGUUGACUGGAAGUUACGCAACACUCAUAAAUACCAUUUGAUUCAUCGGUUAGAUUUGGCACACCCGCUCUCCCCUUCAAAAACAGAACGUCAAAAACAAAACCGUUUACAGUCAAUGUGGCAGUGUGUUGUUAGUCACGCAAACCUGAAAGUCAAAGGAAAGGUUUCUGAAUUUCAUCUCACCCUCACACUACACCUAACACCAAAGCCUACCCCACCAAAAAAAACCUACCCACUAAACCUAGCCCUUCGAACACCUAACCCUUAAAGCUAACCCUAACCUUAAAAUCUAAUCCCAAAACCUAGCACCUAACCUUAACCGCAACCCACACCCUAACCCUGAAACUUCGUCCUAACCAUAACUCUUGAACCUCGUCCUAAACCUGAUAAGUAAAUAAAACCUUGUCACAGGGACGGCUUCAGGAUUUUUCCUCUUAAGGAGCUGGGGGGGGUAAAGGGUGAGAAAACAAUUUCUAAAUAUAUUUUAGAAUAUCAAAUAAAAUGCUAGCGGGGCUUCACUGGAGCUACACAGAUUUCUAACGUCGAAGCACAAAUCGGUGAAUAGUGGCCUAAAAUGGGGAUUAACAAACCGGAAUGCAGCCGAUUUCCAAAGAACCGAGAUGCCUUGAAUGAUCCGUCAUCGGGCUAUGUGCUCAUUUUAUCAAAGAACCUUGCAUAAGAUUCGGUUAAAACAACCCCCGAGGCCAAACAACAGCGGCGCAACCUCGCAAGCGUAUGCCACGGUGGGCAAGGGAGGGGCAGCGUCAUCGCGCAAAACCAUCCAGAUGUGUUUACAGAAGCGCUUUUAGCAAUGACAAUGGCGCACAGGAACAUUCUGUGCAAAGGAGGGGAGGAAAGUAAAAGGUGGCACAAAAAAAAAGAAGCAAAGCCUGGUCUCAAAAGACUGAUUACAUUUCCUCAGAGGCAAGUGAGGACGGGGGGGGUUUGGUGGGUACACAUUGGCCUUUGUGAGUGCACUGAGCUAUGGCUCUCGUGUAAAUGGGAAUGUAUGUAAAUAUAUAUAUUUAAAAAAAAAAAAAAAGCUUUGUGAAUUCCACAGGUAAGCUAUCAACGGCGAGCCAGACCAGCCCAAACAGGCAGAGAGCAGGGCGGGGCUUUUUUUUUUUUUUUUUCAGCCAGAGGCCUUGGACGUCUUCAGUGGCUUUAAAAGUGGGAGGGUGCGGGCGUUUUGGACUUUCACUGCGACUGAAGAGACAGCCUUGGCCUCUGGCAAUCCAAGCAAAGUGCAAAUUAGAAACCAUGCGAGGAUGGGUAUAAAAUAUGAUCUCAAGAUUAAGGGGCUCAAGCAGUGCAGGGCAGAGGGGAGAGGGGGGGGCAUCCAACCUGUCGCCCCCCCCAAGUCAGUUUAGAUGGACUGCGGCUUUGAAGUGAUCUUGAUCCUAAAAUGGCAGCUUCAUAAACAUAAAAUGGUGGUGCAAAUUUGGUAGCAAUCGGAUAAAAUCUCUCAGUCAUGUUGGUGUCAAACCAAAAUGGCAGACUUGCUUGUUUUUUUUUUCAGGAUUGGCUGCGUGAUUUUUGUUUUAUGGGUCAACCCCUGACAGACAUGUUGACUGAAUUUCACAGUGGUCCACGGAUCAUAUUUAAUAACAACAAUCGGACACGAUUUCCGAAUCCUAAAUCCUAAAAUGUCUGCUUGAACCAAAAUGGUGGACCUCAAGUGUCUUUUCUGGCGUUAAGAUAGCUUCUAGAGACUUUUUUUUUUGGGUGGGUCUACUCACGAUAGCGACCAAAUUUCAAAUGACUAAAUUCAACUUGCUUCGCGGGGGGUGAAUUUUCUUUUCCGUCGUCCAUUUGACUUGAGGUUCCAUGACCUCGUGAUGUCAUCCUUCAUCCUACACCUGAAGAUAGGAAGGUGAGGAAGGUAAGGAAAUCCACCCUUGACUGACCCCACCCCCCCUCCCCCACCUAGCGCUCCACUUAAUCCGGCAGUGUGCACAUACACGAAGAGAAACACUGUAUUCUGAGCUUGGGGGCGAGUGAUGGGAAAGAAAAAAAAAAAUUCCUCCUGUGGGCUUUCAAGCGCUUCGGACGCGUAAGUCAACACGCAAGAUAAAUAGAGUGCAGCUCCAGCUGUCAUGGCAAGUGUCCCACAUUGUCUCGGGGCGAACAAACAAAUGUGCACUGAUUGCUCAACAGCGCCUGGAGCUUUGUCAGCCGCCCAUGGGUGCAUACAUCCAACUGAGGGUGUGGAGCGGCGGGCCAGGAACAACACAGGCAAGAGGGAUCACUUUCCCGCCAAAUAAGAGGCGGUGACAGAUUGACCUCGUCGCAAAAUGAAGAACACUUCCUGUGGGACAAAAAGAGGAGAGGAGCGAGAACGUCGUCCUGGCUUGGAUCUGUCUCUCUCCCUCGACCGUCCCGUGGCGUCUUCCGCCGACUCUUUUAUGUAUAAUUUAAGGGAAUGCGCGCGAGAUAAAGCCCGGAAUAAAGACGGCGCUCUUUAAGCUCUUCA